RNAcentral lists this unclassified non-coding RNA (426 nucleotides) under Hevea brasiliensis (rubber tree). The record is from RNAcentral. Lineage: Eukaryota; Viridiplantae; Streptophyta; Magnoliopsida; Malpighiales; Euphorbiaceae.
GUUAAAAUGACUACAAUGGUUCUAUCCAAUCAUUUAUUUGCUCUCAAAAGUCACAUAGAAAAGAAAAAGAAAACUACAGUAUACAAUAAUAAAACUACUAGUGAGAAAUACCAAACAUCCUUGAUCCUCUGCUAAAUAACAUCAAGUUUGGCAAUUCAAGUUAGCAGUAGUCUAGUUUGGUGAUCCUAAGAACAAAGAAUCAAUAACCCCAAGAGAAAAUGAAACAAAGAAAAUCUCUACAAAUUAUCUUAGGACUAAAAGGUUGAAGUUUCAAACAUGACAACGAAUCAAUAAAAAAAUGCAUUGCAAGUAUCAACAGCUCCUUCCCACCAAGAUUUUGCGCAAUAAAAAAACUACAUUUUACCUAAAGACCUAGUGGCAAAUGAACUGAACAUCUUCCUUUAGUUUUUGUUGAAGAGCUACAAU